Long non-coding RNA from Canis lupus familiaris (dog), 7411 nucleotides. RefSeq lists it as uncharacterized. NCBI's taxonomy places the organism in Eukaryota, Metazoa, Chordata, Mammalia, Carnivora, Canidae. The record is from RefSeq and is a predicted model, not a curated record. The transcript has 3 exons.
CGCGGCUGCAGGCGGGGCCCUCGCUGGCCGCGCGCGGGGCGCGACCGCCGGGGCAUCCAGUCGACCAGGUGGCCGUUGAGCGCUCGCAGUGACCUAGGCACGGUCCGGGCUGCUGGGGGUCCGCGGCCAACACGCAGAUACGUACCUACAUACCUGCCUGCCUGCCCCGGGGGAGCCUGUGUUCCAAUUAUAGGAAUCACUUGUUCUGGGGGAAGCCGCCUGCCAUGUUGUGAAGAUAUUCAAGCAAAUUUAUAGAGAGGCCCACAUGGUCAAGAACCAAUGCCUCCUGCCAACAACCAGCACUAAUUUGCCAGGCUUGCCACCUUGGAAGCAGAUCCUCUAGCCUUUGUCAAGCCUCCAGAUGACCGCAGUCCCACAUGACCAUAGUCCCAGCUGACCUCUUUAAUGAGAUUUCAUGACUGCUUAAUAUAAGAUCUACAGGAGUUAAAGGAGUCAAAACUUAAGGCUGGGAUGACAUAAAUAAUGGUGGGACCAUUAGAAAAAUCUAUGUGGAACAACAGAGAAAGAGCAGGCCUAGGAGAGGAGAAGAUGGCCUCGCCUAUGAACAAGCUGGUCUUGAGGAAUCACGAGACAUCCAGAUCGCCACUUUGACAGCUCAGAUGUGCAAGGACUCCAUCUACUCAUUAUACAACAUGAAAAUGGAACACGUUGGUUUCUAUCAGCCUCAUCAGAAAUCUUGGCAGAUGCUGUCAGAAAGAACACACUACUUCUGAGAUGUGAUUUUUCAAUAAUGCAGACUGUACUUUUUGAUUGGGGUUGGGAAAGAGAGGAAAGGGGAGUUGAUUGUGCUUUUUUUUUUUUUUCCUUUUUAAUUUUGAAAUUAUUCUUUUCCAGGAGGCUUUUCCUUAGACCCCACUGAGCUCCUCUGACUAGCCAUGACCACACCACCAGUGGUCUGGGGCGGGCCAGCCAUCUCGAGGCCACCCUAGAGCCCUGUGCCAAGGAUCCAUUCCUUUGAAACAGCCCCCUGUGUGCAGUGUUCAGGGCUCACCCUUGGUGGCUCUCACCUCCCUGGAGUCCAGCAUUAUUCAUAGCUCCCAGUCUCCUCCACUCCACUUGGCCUCGACCUCUGUGUCCCUGUCUUGCAUUAAGACAUCUGAAGUGGGUGGUUCAAGCAAAGAGCAUUUUGUUCCCAGCGGAACGAGGCUCAGGGAGACCGGCAGUGCCAGAGACAGGAGUGGGCACCAUUCGUCAUUCGACUAAAGCCUCGCAGUGUGCAAGCUCCCCACGACAAGCACCACCUUUCCCUGGGAAGGCGGCCAAGGCCUGGAGCCCUGUGUAGGAAAUCCCCAGCGAGAGGCCCUUCCUGAGCGCCACAGAAAAUGGUUCUUUUCAGAGACUGAGUCCCCUUCCUUUCUAGCUACAGGCCCACAUCACGUCCCCCUUCCUGGCCUUUUGCAGCCCGUUCACAUGCCAAGUGCUCCCGCCCCGGCGCCGCAGGGCUCCUGCGCCCCUUCCCUUUCCGAGCCACCCUCAACUGGCUUCCCCAGCCCUGGCAAAGCCUGCAGUCCCCACUUGGGCUGCCAGUGCUCCCUCCACCCCACAUGAAAACUGUCCCAUGCCCUGUCUCCACAUCUCCAGAGGCUCCUCUUGCGUUGAACAGAAAUGAUUUGUUGACUUUACUAAAUUAGCAAGGGGAGCAAAUUCCACAGAUGCCUCUUUGUUCCUGAGUCUCAAAGUUCAGACCUCUAGCUUGAUGGCAGGACUGAGGUGGUGCCAGCAGCUUGAGAGUGCGCGAGAGAAUGACAGCUGACAGUCCCUCUUGACAGGGCCAUUACGAGCUGGCAGGCGGUGGUCCACGCCUCUCACAGCUUCAUAAUGUGAUCUUCACGACAGCCCGCUCUCUGCAGCAGGUACUGUUGCUAGGCCUGCUUUACAGAGGAAGGAGCUGGGACGUGAGGCUAGCAAGAGUCAGACCCGGGUGUGCCUGGGGGAUGGCACCCCUGCACCCAUCCGACUACCUCUCCCGAAGUGUGCUGGGGAAGGGGAGCGGGAGACUUGGAUUCUGGCCUCCUCCUGCCACUCUUUAGGUGGGUCACUUUGGGCCAGCCACAUGCAUUUUUCCAAAUGUCCUUUCCUGAUCAGAAAAAUUAUGGGAAUGAGGUGAUCCCCUAGGGCACUUCCACACAAUGACAUUCUCCCCCCCAUUAUAAAGGCACUCAGAAAGAUCCCCAAAUUCCUGGACUCGAGGCCAGCCCCAGGUAAAGGGAUGAUGUGGCUCUUCUUUGAGUGCAUCCCCAUCUGUAACAGAGCAAACACACUGCCCAGGUUAGGCAGCUGUUCCAGUCCAACUCUCUUGGGCAAGAGAGUGUGAUACUUUACGCUUUGAUAUGAGAUGGAGUCAUAAAUAGUCAUAAAUACUGUUGCAGAUGCCAGGGGCCAUAUGAUCACAGAUGUCCUGCACCCCUGCCAGGAUCCCUCAGUGACUGCCCUGUGCCUGCAGGAGGAAGCCUGCACUCUAGCUCGGCUUCCUCGAGGAGCUGCAUGAGCACACUUUCACCUUCCCACCUUGACCUGUUAUCUUCUCCAGAGACUCAUGUGUACCUCCCCUGCCAAUUUUGGCUGAGCUGACAGGAUGUUAAGGGUUCAUCCUUACCACUGGUGGAAGAUUUGUAGCACCAUACUCGAUCGAUUCAAAGGUGCACAUUUUUCCUCUUUUUAUUUUUUGAAUAUUUUUAUUUAUUUAUUCAUGAGAGACACACACACAGAGAGGCAGAGACCCAGGCAGAGGGAGAAACAGGCUUCCUGCAGGGAGCCCAAUGUGGGACUCGAUCCCAGGACCCCGGGAUCAUGACCUGAGCUAAAGGCAACCACUGAGCCACCCAUCAUUGUUUAUUUGGCAGCACUUUUUCUUUCAUGGUGGUUCACAAAAUAAUGAUGUAUCUUGCAGCCGAAGGCCUCUUAGAUUUGAUGAAGUAUGGUGAGUAGCAUUUUCCAGAUCUGAGCUCUAGAAGCUCAGCCAGACACUGGCAACCUGUGUGCCCUUUUUCUGAGGCUUUUCCUCCCAAUCAGGAUGGGGUCCAGUAUAAUGGAGAUGAUCUUGGGGGGUUUCUAGGGCUCUCUAAUUGUAGCCAUGGGGGAUAUUCAAAGUGUUUCCUGACCAGACCAAUCAGAACGAAGACAGCUGAAAACAUCUGGCGUGUCUGUCCUGGAGUUUACCCAGUACCCACCCUGGCUCUAGUACUCCUUGCCAUUGGCUCCAGAUGUGCAGCCAUUUUCUCUCCUCCUUAAUUUUAUGGGCACUUACCAGCACUCUCAGGGAACAUGGCCUAUCACCCAACCCCAGGGGACAAUCCCUAACUGGAUGAAGCCAGGCAUGGUUAUCCCAGUCUCCUUUGCUUUUAUUGUUUUUAGGAGUGGGCAUGUGUAUUAAUUUACCAUUGCUGCCAUAACAAAUGACUAGAACUUUAGCUUAAAGCAACACAAAUGUAUUAUAUUUGUGUAGGUCAGAAGCCAAGUACAGAUAUCACUAGCCUAAAAAUCAAGAUGUCUACAAGACUGAGUUCCUUCCCAGAGGCUCUAGGGGAGAACUUGUUUCCUUGCUCUUUUGGGUAUUGGCAGAAUUUAGUUCCCUACAACUAUAAGAAUGAGGUCUCUGGCUGUCAGCUAGGAACCUCUAUUAGGGUCGAGAGGCACCCUCCACCUUGGGACAAGUGACAAAUCCUCCUCACAUUGCCAUCUCAUCACCCAGCAGGGCUUGUGGGAUUAUAUUGGGCACCCCAGAUAAUCCAGGAUAGACUCCUCGUCUCAAGGUUCCACCCUUGGUCACAUCUGCAAAGUUCCUAUUGCCAUGUAAGGCAACAUGCUCACAGGCUGCAGGGACAAGAGCAUGAGCAUCUUAGGAGGUCAUUGUUCAGCCUGCUACAGCAGGUGACGAACUCUGGCUGAUGAGCUAUAAAGGGGUACCGCUGGGCUUUUGGAGAUAUUGCUCCCUAACAAAAAGACAGACUUUGAGGAGGCUUGCCCUGCUCCCACUUGCUUUGUUUGAGACGGUGUGAGCUGCAGCAGCUACCUUAGCAGCAUUAGGCAUCAAUGCCAACAAUAAAAGUUGACACUGAGAACAGCAGUGAGAAUAUCAGAGUGAAAAGGAAAAGCUUGCCUUUGGAUGGUAAUGUUGAGCCAUUGAAACUGCCUAGAUCUCCUGCCUAGCUCCUGUUGACCCCUCUUGAAGGGCAGGGCAAGCCUCCUAUAUUUCUGGUUAUGCCUGGUUAGUCGUUGAUGAAUAGAUCUCCCAUAGUCCAUAACACUGCCUGCCAGGUUGUACCUCCUGGUUGAGAUGAUUGUCUGAAUUAUGCCUGAAUUUGCAGCGCCCUCCAAACUUGAUGGCUUAGAUUGCUGGCUGCCCUCAUGGCAGCUCUGUUUUUCAGGCCUGGUACCAGGCUUAGCUUUUCCCUCCUCGUUAAUCUGCAUGCUCGGGGUCACACCAUACCUACAUUCCAUCCAUCUUAGUGUUUCUGGUGUAUCUUAAUAUCCAGAUACACUAGGCUACUGGCCAUUCCCGGACAAGUCCCUUCACCUUCAUUCUCCUGUGCCAUUCCUCCUGCUGCUCUCUCAAUCAGAAAUGCCCUUUCUAUAUCCAUAUAUCUUUGCCAUUAUAUCCUUACAACAAUUUUAUGAGGAGGUGCUAUUAUUCCCAUCUGGCAAAUGGUUAAAAAACAUCAGGUAACUUAUAUUUAAGGGUACUGGCCAGUAAGUGGCAGAACUAGGAUGCUACUGUAGGUCUUAUGAACCUGAAAGCCCACAUCUUUUCACUUGCUCCUACAUUGGCAUUUUAGAGGAGACACUGCUCAACUGAAGUCUUAAAAGGAUUUGUCUCCCUCACUGCAUUAUAAGCAUCUUGAGCGCAGGGGGUGAGUCAUUCCUUAGUGACCCCAGAAUCAGUGGUGUGCAUGUCAAGGUUAACAACUGGCUCUGAGAGAGGAUUGGGUAGGGAAGGAAAGCCCUAAUUUAUACUGUUUUUCGUGGGGAAAAUUCUCCCAUCGUGGCUGAUCUUGAGCUUCCAAUGUGACAUUGCUGAACAAGGAGUUAGGAGAGAUGUGUAGAAGCACACCAUCAGAUGAUACUUCCACCACAAAGAUAAAAUAUAGGUGAAUAACCUCAAGAGGACAGAAAAUGGUAAAAAGUAGUAAAAUAAUUAGGGAGUGAAUGAAUUUUGAUUAGUUAUUACCAUUGUUUUAUCUAAUUUAUUCUGUUUUAAUCUUACGUAACUUAACCUUUAAUAAUUGUUAUGUUUAAUGAUCAGCUUGCAAAUUUCCUGAACGCUUAACAAUGAGGUUUGAGGUUGGUUUGAGCUGGUUCUGGCACACCACCGCUAGAGUCUAGUAUAAGGAUUUGCUUUUUUUUUUUUUUUUUUUUUAAGAUUCAUUUAUUCAUUUAAGAGAGAGAGAGAAAAAAAAUAAGGAGGAGGCAGGGGGAAAGGGAGAGGGAGAGAAUCUUCAGCAGACUCCCCACUAAGACGGAGCCUGAUGGAGGGCUCAAUCUCAUGGCCUGAGUCAAAAUAGACACUCCACGGACUGAGCCACCCAGGUGCCCCAGAUUUGCUUUUAAUAGGCUCUGGAAUGGUGAUGAGGAUGCUAAUAAAAAGAACAUGAUUAUCCAUUAAUGAGUUUUGAAUAGAGUCUGAUAACUCAAGCUGCAAUGUUCUUCCUGUGUUUGAGAAUUUCUUAGUUCCAUUACUCAGACUUCACCAAAAGCCCAACAAAUAAAAACUAGCUGACAGUAGAGAUCAAAGAAUAGCCAAGGCUCCCACUAAGGGCUGUGAAGACUGAACUCUGCCCAGUGUCAGGGUGGGGCGCUAUGACUGCUUCCAGUUCCAAAGGGUCUGUGUGGACUGGGCUUGAGCAAGCCUCUGGAGUUAUCACUGUCUCCUCACUUCACUCACUUCCCUCUGGCCACGCCCACAACAAGAGCUGUCCUGGACAAAAAGCACCAAGUCAAAUUAGCACUUAGUUACAUUCAAGAAAGUUCACUCUCUCAGGAAGUAGGGAGCCUAAAAUGAAAAGGAAACUACAUUGCAGCUCGCCAAGAAGUCCUGCCUUUCACUGUCUUAAACUUUUGUCAUGGGUGCAAGGCUGAUGUCACUGGAAACUGGAGUGGGCAGGAUCAGCUUAGGGAGGGAGACCGACAGCUGGUGAAUCAGCUGUGCUGCAUUACACUCUGCACUCUCCUCGUCCUGGCUCAGGGAUUGUACCAUAUAUGGACUCAGCCUCAUGAAGGCAGUCCCACUGAUUUGCAUUGGAGCGCCCUUAAAACUGCCUUUAGGGAUUAGGUCAUUGUUACCAGGAAAAGGGAGACCCCAGCAAGGUUGGUCAACAUGAAGAAAUCAGGCCCAAUUGUGGUCUGGCAAGGGAAGGCUGAGAAGAGGGGCAGCCCCAUCCAGCCACACAGCUCUGGGGAAUGAAGGACAGAGCCUGAGAAAGCAGUGGGAGUGACUCUUAGCAGUGGUUGCAAGGGGGAGGGAUUGGGCACAGGACCAGCCUACUUCUGUAGACUCCAUUCUGCCUCUGGGCGGCCUGGGGCUGCAGGAGCUUUAUCCUGAGGCUGACUCAGACCAGAGGAAUAACUCCCAAAUUUCAGAUGUGAGACACAGCUUCCCUGCUUGUGGGUGAAGGUGGCUGUGAUGCUGCUGAAUGUACAGGAGCCCCACUGAUGAAGUGAGGGACAGUCCAGGCUCUGAGUUAUUCUGGAACUGAGAGGGGUUCACCCAGGUAGAACACAGCUUGUUAACCUCCAGCCCCCAUUCCAUCCAUCCAGACUGGGGUAGCCCAGUGUGACACAGAGAGGCGGUGGGAAUCCAGGGAAACAGGAAAGGAAAAGGAGGUCGGGGAGUGAUCUUGGAAAGUGGCUUUUAAUAGAUGGCCAGGAAAUUGGAUCCAAUUUGUAAAGAUUAACCAACUUUUUUCAUUGUUGUUUCAGCAAUCUGUGUGCUUUAGCUUUGUUUUUUAAGGACCAGCUUGAGUCAUUUCAUGACACCUCUCUCUCUCCGUAUACCCCCUGAUUUUGUUCAAAAGAGCAGAGCUGUGGAAUAAUCUAGCGCUGUGAGAAGGAACUACUCCAUAUGCAAAACACAGACAAAUCUCACAAACGUAAUGUGGAAUGAAAGAAGGCAGACACAAAAGAGUACUGUGAAAUCCCAUUUAUAUCAAGCUCAGAAACAGGCAAAACCAAUAUGCGAUGUUAGAAGUCAGGAUAGUGGUUCCUUUGUUGGUGCUAGCCACUGGGAGGGGCAAGAGGGCUUCAGGGGUGCUGGUGAUGUACUAAUUCUUUGUCUGGGUGCUGCUUACAUGGAUGGAAAUACCCUGAGCUGUCCAUACACAUUUCUGUAUGCAUGUUAUAUCUCAAUCAAGCUUCCUAAAAAAAAAAAAAAAAAGAAAAUCACAGGAAGAAUAAA